CCUACGGCGGCAGCAGUGGGGAAUAUUGGACAAUGGGCGAAAGCCUGAUCCAGCCAUGCCGCGUGUGUGAAGAAGGCCUUCGGGUUGUAAAGCACUUUCAGUGGGGAAGAAAGCCUUGGGGCUAAUACCCUCGAGGAAGGACAUCACCCACAGAAGAAGCACCGGCUAACUCCGUGCCAGCAGCCGCGGUAAUACGGAGGGUGCGAGCGUUAAUCGGAAUUACUGGGCGUAAAGCGCGCGUAGGCGGUCUGAUAAGCCGGUUGUGAAAGCCCCGGGCUCAACCUGGGAACGGCAUCCGGAACUGUCAGGCUAGAGUGCAGGAGAGGAAGGUAGAAUUCCCGGUGUAGCGGUGAAAUGCGUAGAGAUCGGGAGGAAUACCAGUGGCGAAGGCGGCCUUCUGGACUGACACUGACGCUGAGGUGCGAAAGCGUGGGUAGCAAACAGGAUUAGAUACCCUAGUAGUC
This 464-nucleotide ribosomal RNA is filed under the name Vreelandella stevensii. Its description in RNAcentral is "partial 16S ribosomal RNA". It matches the Rfam family "Bacterial small subunit ribosomal RNA", at positions 338 to 795 of the family's 1533-position model. Lineage: Bacteria; Pseudomonadati; Pseudomonadota; Gammaproteobacteria; Oceanospirillales; Halomonadaceae. The record is from RNAcentral.